AGAGAGGAAAGGUUCAUCAGUGAAGGUCUAUCAGUGAAGGUCUAUCAGUGAAGGUCUAUCAGUGAAGGUCUACCAGUGAAGGUCUACCAGUGAAGGUCUAUCAGUGAAGGUCUAUCAGUGAAGGUCUACCAGUGAAGGUCUAUCAGUGAAGGUCUAUCAGUGAAGGUCUACCAGUGAAGGUCUAUCAGUGAAGGUCUAUCAGUGAAGGUUCAUCAGUGAAGGUCUAUCAGUGAAGGUUCAUCAGUGAAGGUCUAUCAGUGAAGGUCUGCCAGUGAAGGUCUACCAGUGAAGGUCUACCAGUGAAGGUCUAUCAGUGAAGGUCUAUCAGUGAAGGUCUACCAGUGAAGGUCUAUCAGUGAAGGUCUAUCAGUGAAGGUUCAUCAGUGAAGGUCUAUCAGUGAAGGUCUACCAGUGAAGGUCUAUCAGUGAAGGUCUAUCAGUGAAGGUUCAUCAGUGAAGGUCUAUCAGUGAAGGUUCAUCAGUGAAGGUCUAUCAGUGAAGGUCUACCAGUGAAGGUCUACCAGUGAAGGUCUAUCAGUGAAGGUCUAUCAGUGAAGGUCUACCAGUGAAGGUCUAUCAGUGAAGGUCUACCAGUGAAGGUCUAUCAGUGAAGGUCUAUCAGUGAAGGUCUACCAGUGAAGGUCUAUCAGUGAAGGUCUAUCAGUGAAGGUUCAUCAUAAACGAAGCUAAAACAGCACAGAGACAAAUGGAAACAGUCAAGUGUUCUGUUGCUGCCCAUUAAUAAACACAAAAGAUCACAUAUUCUCAAUAAAGUGUUGCUUGUUUACUAAUGUUGAUGUGAUCUUAAAUUGUAGUAAUAACUUCAGUGUUUUCAGAACCAGUAGAAAUGAGCAGAACCAAGAUCCAUCCAUCCAUCCUCUAUACACCGCUUUAUCCUCACUGGGGUCAUGGGGGGUGCUGGAGUCUAUCCCAGCUGACUCGGGUGAAGGCAGGUGACACCCUGGACAGGUCACCAGUCUGUCACAGGGCUACAUAUACAGACACACAAUCACACUCACAUUCACACCUACGGACAAUUUAGAGUAACCAAUUAACCUCAGCAUGUUUUUGGACUGUGGGAGGAAGCCGGAGUACCCGGAAAAAACCCACGCAUGCACAGGGAGAACAUGCAAACUCCAUGCAGGAAGAUCCCAGGCCCAGGCCGGGAUUUGAACCAGGGAUCUUCUAGCUGCAAGGUGAAAGUGCUAACCACUACGCCACUGAGCAGCCCCCAGAACCAAGAUACCAGUCAUUUUACACCAACUUUCUCCUUUGAGUCUGGAAACCU
Long non-coding RNA from Acanthochromis polyacanthus (spiny chromis), 1288 nucleotides. RefSeq lists it as uncharacterized. The record is from RefSeq and is a predicted model, not a curated record. The transcript is spliced from 4 exons. Lineage: Eukaryota; Metazoa; Chordata; Actinopteri; Pomacentridae.